RNAcentral lists this ribosomal RNA (253 nucleotides) under uncultured bacterium. RNAcentral describes it as "partial 16S ribosomal RNA". It matches the Rfam family "Bacterial small subunit ribosomal RNA", at positions 524 to 776 of the family's 1533-position model. The record is from RNAcentral.
UACGGAGGGUGCAAGCGUUGUUCGGAUUUACUGGGCGUAAAGGGCGCGUAGGCGGCGCGGUAAGUCACUUGUGAAAUCUCUGAGCUUAACUCAGAACGGCCAAGUGAUACUGCAGUGCUAGAGUGCAGAAGGGGCAAUCGGAAUUCUUGGUGUAGCGGUGAAAUGCGUAGAUAUCAAGAGGAACACCUGAGGUGAAGACGGGUUGCUAGGCUGACACUGACGCUGAGGCGCGAAAGCCAGGGGAGCAAACGGG